AUGGAGGUGUCCCAUGAUGGAUGCAACUCUUUCAGAGAUGGGGCUGAAAUGGUGGGCCUUGCUGUGGCUUUGGAAUGCCUGUUCCAAGAUGCAGCUGCUUCUAAGCCCUGUCAGUUGUCAGAAGGUGGAGGCUGCUGCAUGGGGAGAGUUAUGGCAAUGGUUGCAGUAUCCCAAGAUGGAGGUAGAUUAGGCCUGGGCCUCCAGGUGGGGCCUACAGGAUGGACCAAGGCCUACCCUGGGCCUGGAUUCCUGAAUAAAAGUUUUGAUGCAGACACUUCCCCGAAGCCCACGAUUUUUCUUCCUUCACUUACUGAAAUAAAGCUUCAUAAGGCUGGGACACAUCUUUGUCUUCUCGAGAACUUUUUCCCUGAUGUUAUUACAGUAUUUUGGAAAGAGAAGUAUGGUAAUAGGAUUCUGGAAUCCCAGCAGGGAGAUACCAUGAAGACUAAAGACACUUACAUGAAGAUGAGCUGGCUAACUGUGACUGAAGAAUCAAUGGAUAAAGAGCGCAAGUGUGUUGUCAAACAUGAGAAAAAUAGAGGGGGAGUUGAUCAAGAGAUUCUGUUUCCUGCAAUAAAGAAAGCUUUCACCACUAUUAAUCCCAGAGAAGCUGAUCUGGAAGUUGAAAAUGAUGCACUGAGGCUGCAGCUCACAUACACCUCUGCCUACUGGACCUACCUCCUCCUGCUGCUCAAGAGUGUGGUCUACUUGGCCAUCAUCACCUUCUGUCUGCUUAGAAGAACAGCUGCUGGUGGCAAUGGGAAGAGCUCCUAA
This is a non-coding RNA of Ictidomys tridecemlineatus (thirteen-lined ground squirrel), 774 nucleotides long. The record is from the annotation of a RefSeq genome assembly. Lineage: Eukaryota; Metazoa; Chordata; Mammalia; Rodentia; Sciuridae.